This 1368-nucleotide long non-coding RNA is filed under the name Zostera marina. RNAcentral's name for it is "long non-coding RNA (ZMAR_LNC001496)". The record is from RNAcentral. Lineage: Eukaryota; Viridiplantae; Streptophyta; Magnoliopsida; Alismatales; Zosteraceae.
GAAACUUGGCUCUGAUACCACUUGUUGGAUCGAGAUCCGAGGCUAUAAGGGGGGAUAAUAGCCUCUUUUCGAUUUAUACAGGUUGAUUGCGGAAUUACCUGUAAAUGCUUAAUAAACAAAUGGUUGAACAAUAAUGAUAUAAAGAUAUUAUGAUUUUGAUUGAUAUAAUAAUGUAAUUAUUACUCUUCGAAGCUUACUCCAGUAUAUGAAUACUGAGUCAACUUGCUUGAUAGUGUUUUACACACAACUAUAGUAUAUGAAUACUAAGUUAUAUUGUAAACACAAAUUGUAUUGUAGAGUAAAUGACCAGAUAACUGGAUAUAUUGAUAAGCAAGUAAGUGACCAGAUAACUGGAUAAAUAUGAUAAGUAAUACUUGAACAAAUAUAAGGAUUUAAAGCAAUGAAUAUAACCUCAGAUGGUUGACCAGAUAACUGGAUGAGGGAUCUGCGUAAAGUAGUCAACCUCUGUAUUUGACCAGAUAACUGGAAGAGGGAUCUUUUUAAUUAAGUGUUGUUUUUAAAUAAAAGAUAAAACUAUAAUUAACAGAGAACAACACAAGAGAUUUAUACUGGUUCACCCAAACAAGGGCUAGUCCAGUCCCGACCAACUGUCGGAAUUCACUCGCCUAAAGGUAAUGGCAAAACCUUAGAGUAUCAAGGAAACUCUUAAGAACCUCUCUAAGCUUUAAGGCUACUUCGCUUAGGAACCAGUCUUUUACGGGUAGACUCACACCUUAGAGUAUCAAGGGCACUCUUAAGAACCUCUAACUUUUACGGGUAAGUUAGUACCUUAGAGUAUCAAGGAACUCUUAAAAACCUCUGAAAUCUUUAAAGAUAGACUCAACCUAAGAGUUUUCCUGUAAACUCUAUAAAACCAAACUAGAGCUUUAUGGUUGAGCUCACAAACUUUCUCUCUCACUUUGGUACUAUUGAGACAACCCUCUCAACCAAAGUGGACACACACAAGAGGUGAUUAGAGGAGUGGAAUAUUAAAGCAAACAACACUUCUUACUUGUAAAGAUGAACAAGAAGAUUAGAAGAAGAUGUUGGAGAGCUUUUGAAGCUUUGGAAAGCUAGGACACUUGAGCACUUGAAAGCUUGGAAGUUUGGAGGCAAAAACGUGUGGGCAAGUGUGGAGUGAAAGCUCUUGAGUUUGCUUGUAGUGUGGUGAGUGAAAAUGAGGGGUUUACCCUUCUAUUUAUAGCCUUGGCCACUCAAUGUCCACCCUUGGAUCUUCAAUGGAUGGCUUCUUGAUUUCUCACAUAAAUCCAAGCUUUGUCUUUGAUCUUAUCUUGAAUAGUGUUUUUCUUGGAUAGAGUUUGUUGGAGAAUCUUAUCUUUGUAUAAAUUCAAACUUGAAUAGUGUUUU